UCCCAGGCUGCUAGCACAUCUACUUCAAACAAUCCUUCUCCUAGUACCAUAAGACAUCGAGGACAUGGUGGUGGUUCAGUCAUUAGGACUCCUCCACAUGUUUCAGAUGAUGAUUUAUCAAAUAUACUUGCGAUGGCUGAAACCGUUCGCGAAGUGCUUCCCCAUGUUCCUGAUGAACUAAUAUUGCGGGAUUUGCAGCGAACGAAUUCUGUUUCGGUUACUGUGAAUAAUCUUCUUCAAAUAUAAGUGGGUAGCAAUUGAGUGAAGUAAUAAAGGAAAAAACUAGUACUSAUAAUGCUAUAGUUUGUACAUACAAAGUGUCAAAAAAUUGUUGAAGUAAAACUAUAGCCCAUUGAGGUUUAGAGAUGGAAACUUGUAUGAUUCUUAUGUUUGGUGCAAUAAUGAUGAUGAUGUUUUAUUAC
This is a long non-coding RNA of Cynara cardunculus var. scolymus (artichoke), 422 nucleotides long. RefSeq lists it as uncharacterized. NCBI's taxonomy places the organism in Eukaryota, Viridiplantae, Streptophyta, Magnoliopsida, Asterales, Asteraceae. The record is from RefSeq and is a predicted model, not a curated record. The transcript has 2 exons.